CAGUAGCCACGGUAAAACGGAGGGGGCUAGCGUUGUUCGGAAUUACUGGGCGUAAAGCGCACGUAGGCGGUUUUGUAUGUCAGAGGUGAAAGCCCGGAGCUCAACUCCGGAACUGCCUUUGAGACUGCAUCACUUGAACGUCGGAGAGGUGAGUAGAAUUCCGAGUGUAGAGGUGAAAUUCGUAGAUAUUCGGAAGAACACCAGUGGCGAAGGCGGCUCACUGGACGACUGUUGACGCUGAGGUGCGAAAGCGUGGGGAGCAAACAGGAUUAGAUACCCGCGUAGUCCCUGUCUCUUAUAC
Molecule: ribosomal RNA, 301 nt
Filed under: uncultured bacterium
Lineage: Bacteria
Description: partial 16S ribosomal RNA
Rfam family: Bacterial small subunit ribosomal RNA
Source: RNAcentral